Long non-coding RNA from Medicago truncatula (barrel medic), 1130 nucleotides. RefSeq lists it as uncharacterized. Lineage: Eukaryota; Viridiplantae; Streptophyta; Magnoliopsida; Fabales; Fabaceae. The transcript has 2 exons. The record is from RefSeq and is a predicted model, not a curated record.
GUGUGCUAAAAAUAUUUAAUUUGUGUAAAGAAAACUCAAGCUUUAUAUAUUAUAAAGUGAUCAAAUCCUUUUCUAUUUGUUACGUGCAAAGGGAGCAAUAUAUGGCUAAACUUAUGAAGUUUGUUUAUUUUAUGAUUCUCUUCCUUUCUCUGUAUCUUGUUGCAACAACUCAUGACUGUCAUAAUGACUUGGAUUGUGGAGACAAAAUUAAGUGUGUGCCUCCUCGGAUUGCAUUAUGUAUCAAUUACAAAUGUUAUUGUAUUCUUGAAAAUGAUGCGGUAAUUCCUUGGAGUACAUGACCAAAACAAGUUAAGUAAUUCACUACAAGCAAGAAGGAUUUCUUAAACUAGCAAAAGAUCUAAGAUAUACGGUUGUUGAUAAAAUAUUACAUGAUAUGUUAUUUACUAACUUUGUUGGCACCCAUUAAUUGAAUUUAUUUUGUUUUUAUUUUUGCAUUCCUAAUUUAAUUGAUCAUGCAAUUAUUGAUUUUUACUAUUAGAUUUUGUGAAUGGUUUGAAAUUUAACAGUAACUGUUAGAAGGCUUCAUGGUCAAGAUUUUCCAAUGCAGAUAAUAUUAAGAAUCAGAUGUAAAGGGGUAAGCCACGCGCAACGUUCGUGCUGACACAAACCUGCCCUCAUCAUCCCGAAUACACACUCCUAUACCUACUUUGUUGAAGAAGCGGAGAAGGAAGCAUCCACGUUAUACUUAAGUCUUCCUACCGGUGGUGGCUGCCACGUGCACAGCUGUUGACGUGUCUUAGACGUGUUGCUGGUUGCAGCACCAGCUCCUGACCAUUGAACACUUCUCAUAAUGACUUUUAGUCGAAAAUCUUUCUUGAUGUUCGCCAACAUCCAUUAUUCCAGAACAUGGUUGGCACACUCUUAAAUCUGAGAGUUAGUCUUUGUAACAAGUUGCCAGAUCUUAAAUUUCGGUGCUUCCAAAUUCUCCAUAGGAUUGUGGCAAAUUAUGUAACCUUGGUUUUAGGAAAACGCUGCAAUAAGAGAAAAAUUGAUGUCGUAGCGUUAUAACCUUGAUGUAAAGUUGCAGUUACAUCUUGCAAAAGACCACCAUUUCGCCACACUUGAACAACUCUUGGCCAUUCAAAUAAAAUGUGAAUUUCGUCCUCGUA